CCUACGGGAGGCAGCAGUAGGGAAUCUUUCACAAUGGGCGAAAGCCUGAUGGAGCAACGCCGCGUGCAGGAUGAAGGCCUUCGGGUUGUAAACUGCUUUUAUAAUCGAGAAAUAUGAUGGUAACUUAUGAAUAAGGAUCGGCUAACUACGUGCCAGCAGCCGCGGUCAUACGUAGGAUCCGAGCAUUAUCCGGAGUGACUGGGUGUAAAGAGUUGCGUAGGUGGCAUAAUAAGUAGCUAGUGAAAUCUGGUGGCUCAACCAUUCAGACUAUUAGCUAAACUGUUAAGCUCGAGACCGUUAGGGGUAACUGGAAUUUCUAGUGUAGGAGUGAAAUCCGUAGAUAUUAGAAGGAACACCAAUAGCGUAGGCAGGUUGCUGGGACGGUUCUGACACUAAGGCACGAAAGCGUAGGGAGCAAACGGGAUUAGAUACCCCAGUAGUC
Molecule: ribosomal RNA, 442 nt
Filed under: uncultured bacterium
Lineage: Bacteria
Description: partial 16S ribosomal RNA
Rfam family: Bacterial small subunit ribosomal RNA
Source: RNAcentral